AACGAACGCUGGCGGCAUGCCUAACACAUGCAAGUCGAACGAAGCCUUCGGGCUUAGUGGCGCACGGGUGCGUAACGCGUGGGAAUCUGCCCUUGGGUUCGGAAUAACAGUUAGAAAUGACUGCUAAUACCGGAUGAUGUCUUCGGACCAAAGAUUUAUCGCCCAAGGAUGAGCCCGCGUAGGAUUAGGUAGUUGGUGGGGUAAUGGCCCACCAAGCCGACGAUCCUUAGCUGGUCUGAGAGGAUGAUCAGCCACACUGGGACUGAGACACGGCCCAGACUCCUACGGGAGGCAGCAGUGGGGAAUAUUGGACAAUGGGCGAAAGCCUGAUCCAGCAAUGCCGCGUGAGUGAUGAAGGCCUUAGGGUUGUAAAGCUCUUUUACCAGGGAUGAUAAUGACAGUACCUGGAGAAUAAGCUCCGGCUAACUCCGUGCCAGCCGCCGCCGUAA
RNAcentral lists this ribosomal RNA (449 nucleotides) under uncultured bacterium. RNAcentral describes it as "partial 16S ribosomal RNA". It matches the Rfam family "Bacterial small subunit ribosomal RNA", at positions 29 to 523 of the family's 1533-position model. The record is from RNAcentral.